This 505-nucleotide ribosomal RNA is filed under the name uncultured bacterium. RNAcentral describes it as "partial 16S ribosomal RNA". It matches the Rfam family "Bacterial small subunit ribosomal RNA", at positions 28 to 507 of the family's 1533-position model. The record is from RNAcentral.
GACGAACGCUGGCGGCGUGCCUAAUACAUGCAAGUCGAACGCACAGUUUAUACCGUUGCUUGCUACACCAUAGACUGUGAGUUGCGUACGGGUGAGUAACGCGUAGGUUACCUGUCUGGUAGCGGGGGAUAACUAUUGGUAAUGAUAGCUAAUACCGCCUAAUAUUUAUUAUUGCAUGAUAAUUUACUGCAAGGUGCAAUUGCACCACUACUAGAUGGACUUGCGUUGUAUUAGUUAGUAGGUGAGGUAACGGCUCAUCUAGGCGGGGAUACAUAGCCGACAGGAGGGGGUGGUCGGCCAGACUGAGACGGUGACACGGCACAGACGGCUUGAGGUGGCAGCAGUAGGGAAACUGCAGCAAUGGGCGGGAAUCUGACCAAGCUACGCCGCGGGAGGAAGGAGGGUUUUCGGGUCGUAGAGCUCUGUUGUAGGAGAAGAACGGGUGUGAGAGUGGGAAGUUCACAGUGUGACGGUAUCGUACCAGGAAGGAACGGCUAACUACGUG